CUGAUCUAGCCAUGCCGCGUGGGUGAUGAAGGCCUUAGGGUCGUAAAGCACUUUCGCCAGGGAUGAUAAUGACAGUACCUGGUAAAGAAACCCCGGCUAACUCCGUGCCAGCAGCCGCGGUAAUACGGAGGGUGCGAGCGUUAAUCGGAAUUACUGGGCGUAAAGCGCACGUAGGCGGAUCAGAAAGUUGGGGGUGAAAUCCCAGGGCUCAACCCUGGAACUGCCUCCAAAACUCCUGGUCUUGAGUUCGAGAGAGGUGAGUGGAAUUCCGAGUGUAGAGGUG
RNAcentral lists this ribosomal RNA (283 nucleotides) under Corethron pennatum. RNAcentral's name for it is "partial Bacterial small subunit ribosomal RNA". It matches the Rfam family "Bacterial small subunit ribosomal RNA", at positions 383 to 683 of the family's 1533-position model. The record is from RNAcentral. Lineage: Eukaryota; Bacillariophyta; Corethrophyceae; Corethrales; Corethraceae.